RNAcentral lists this ribosomal RNA (161 nucleotides) under uncultured bacterium. RNAcentral describes it as "partial 16S ribosomal RNA". It matches the Rfam family "Bacterial small subunit ribosomal RNA", at positions 355 to 507 of the family's 1533-position model. The record is from RNAcentral.
UAGGGAAUCUUCGGCAAUGGACGGAAGUCUGACCGAGCAACGCCGCGUGAGUGAAGAAGGUUUUCGGAUCGUAAAGCUCUGUUGUAAGAGAAGAACGAGUGUGAGAGUGGAAAGUUCACGCUGUGACGGUAUCUUACCAGAAAGGGACGGCUAACUACGUG